Molecule: ribosomal RNA, 403 nt
Filed under: uncultured bacterium
Lineage: Bacteria
Description: partial 16S ribosomal RNA
Rfam family: Bacterial small subunit ribosomal RNA
Source: RNAcentral
GACGAACGCUGGCGGCGUGCCUAAUACAUGCAAGUCGAACGCAGUGGGGACGGGUGAGUAACACGUGGGUAACCUCCCAUCAGAGGGGAUAAAACUUGGAAACAGGUGCAAAACCGAUACUGAUGGAUGGACCCGCGGUGCAUGAGCUAGUUGGUGAGGUAACGUCUCACCAAGGCAAUGAUGCAUAGCCGACCUGGGAGGGUGAUCGGCUACACUGGGACUGAGCAACGGCCCAGACUCCGACGGGAGGCAGCAGUAGGGAAUCUUCGGCAAUGGACGAAAGUCUGACCGAGCAACGCCGCGUGAGUGAAGAAGGUUUUCGGAUCGUAAAACUCUGUUGUUAGUGAAGCGGUAUCUAACCAGAAAGCCACGGCUAACUACGUGCCAGCAGCCGCGGUAAUUC